CCUACGGGAGGCAGCAGUGGGGAAUAUUGCACAAUGGGGGAAACCCUGAUGCAGCGACGCCGCGUGAGUGAGGAAGUAUUUCGGUAUGUAAAGCUCUAUCAGCAGGGGAGCAAAUGACGGUACCUGACUAAGAAGCCCCGGCUAACUACGGGCAAGCAGCCGCGGUAAUACGUAGGGGGCAAGCGUUAUCCGGAUUUACUGGGUGUAAAGCGAGCGUAGACGGUUAAUCAAGUCAGAAGUGAAAACGCAGGGCUCAACCUUGGGACUGCUUUUGAAACUGAGUAGCUAGAGUGCAGGAGAGGUAAGCGGAAUGCCUAGUGUAGCGGUGAAAUGCGUAGAUAUUAGGAGGAACACCAGUGGCGAAGGCGGCUUACUGGACUGUAACCGACGUUGAGGCUCGAAAGCGUGGGGAGCAAACAGGAUUAGAUACCCGGGUAGUC
Molecule: ribosomal RNA, 440 nt
Filed under: uncultured bacterium
Lineage: Bacteria
Description: partial 16S ribosomal RNA
Rfam family: Bacterial small subunit ribosomal RNA
Source: RNAcentral